GUGGGACAAGAACCGAAGGCGCCAGAAAGACACCCUGAGGGAGGAGGAGCAGCGAAGUAAACAAACCUGAACAGUACACGUUUCCUGGCUGCUGUACUUAUCUUAGAUGGUGAUUGUGGAGAACAGCAGACUGAACAUGGCGGGCAGCAGUAACAAUCUUAAUGGCGGUGGUCUGCAGUGUCCUCUGUGCUCGAUCAACAACCUCUCGCGGCAGGAGUUUGAGGAGCACAAGGCGUCACCGCAGCACAGGGUGAAGUGGCUCAAACACUGGUACCAGAACAACAAAAUCCUGUUGGCUCAGAACAAGAAUGGCGUUGAGAUCGUGGCGAAGGGGAACAUGGACGGCAUUUCCACCGACCACCAGACAGGCCAGGUUGCUGUGUACCUGCCGCCGGCCGGCCAGAAGAUCUUCCAGCUGGUGGUGAAGAACACGGGACAGGAGCCUAUCAUUCUGCGGCAGAUUGAGGCGCUGCACUCCUGCCCCUCCGUGGUGCUCACCGACAACCAUGGCGUGUGUCGGGGGGAGAAGUACGUGCGGGUGCUGGGAGGGGUGGAGUACCAGGUGGACUGCAACACAGCAGCGCGGAGCAUCGGAGUGGAGCAGGUGCCCAUUGCGUUCCAGUUCAGAGCAGAGACAUCAGACGAACUCUUCUUUAUCGUCAGGACUGUGCAAGUGAAUGUGCAGGACCAGGUGGCAGAGGAAAGUGGGCCGACAAGUGUGUUUAAGCGCCCAGCUCCCGGCCCUCAUGUGUUCAUCAGUGAGGAGUCCAUUAUUCCCGGCGUGCCCUUGAAGAACAACCAGAAGGCCGACGGUCUGUCCAAGAAGCUGCCACUGUACAACUACAAGUACACAAGGUCGCUGCAGCUCAUCGCACAGAAGAACUUCAACCCAAAGAAGGUCACUGCUGAACUCAGGGAGGAGGCCAGGAAAAUCAGCGACAUGAUGCAGCAGGGCCUGACAAGAGAGAACUACAGCAUGUGGUACCAGACAAUGCUGUGGCUGGAGGAGAUGCAGAUGGAGCUGGACAUCCGGUAUUACUCCAUGGAGGAAACCACACUCAAGCAGGUCCCCUAUCGAGACUACCCCAAUGUGCCCUGUGUGGAGCUCAAGGUUCCUGGGCUGGCCGAGAACCGUCCGUCAGUGUUGAAGGGAGACAAUGUGCUGGUGACCCACAAGGGGAAGAAGAAGCCACUGUACGCUGGGGUGGUGCAUGAGGUGAAGGAGUCCAGCCUCUACCUAGCCUUUGGAUCUGAGUUCAUGGACACGUUCAUAGACAACAUAAGGGUGAGCGUGAACUUUCAGUUCAACCGCCAUCCUUUGAAAGUGAGUCACCGCGCCUAGACCUCACCCAGAAGGCACCCUCACCCACCUCACCUUCCCCACGGUCCCCCCUGCAGCCGCCACCCCCAUCACCAACAUUGUUCCCUACAACCGCAAGCUGGAGAACAACCGAGAGCAGAUGUUGGCAGUGCGUAACAUUGUGAACCGCACCUCCCGGCCAGCUCCCUACGUUGUGUUUGGACCCCCUGGCACUGGCAAGACUGUCACCAUUGUAGAGGCCAU
RNAcentral lists this unclassified non-coding RNA (1564 nucleotides) under Portunus trituberculatus (swimming crab). RNAcentral describes it as "putative helicase mov-10-B.1, transcript variant X1". The record is from RNAcentral. Lineage: Eukaryota; Metazoa; Arthropoda; Malacostraca; Decapoda; Portunidae.